CGCGGGGUGGAGCAGCUCGGUAGCUCGCUGGGCUCAUAACCCAGAGGUCAGAGGUUCAAAUCCUCUCCCCGCUACCA
This 77-nucleotide transfer RNA is filed under the name Planosporangium flavigriseum. RNAcentral describes it as "tRNA-Met". It matches the Rfam family "tRNA". From Rfam's summary of the family: Transfer RNA (tRNA) molecules are approximately 80 nucleotides in length. Their secondary structure includes four short double-helical elements and three loops (D, anti-codon, and T loops). RNAcentral also lists the same sequence under 11 other names. Lineage: Bacteria; Bacillati; Actinomycetota; Actinomycetes; Micromonosporales; Micromonosporaceae. The record is from RNAcentral.